ACACACACACACACUCAAAUACAUUUAAGAUGUUUAAACUCAGUCAUGUGACGUGUCUCUAUUUCCUACAGCUUGUCAUAACUGGUAUUGUCCUGGUGCAUGCUGGGAGGAAGCCAUCUAAAUGGCUGGUUCUGACAACCAUUGUUCUGCAAUUACUAACAGCAGCAUUUGAUGUUGUUGGAUUUGGGCUCUUAGCCAGACACAUCCCAUUCAGAGGAGAGUCGUACUUCUACAGGGACACAGAGGUAAACAAACAGAGAUGCCCCAUCUUGCUCAUCCUUAAGCCAAGACACCUUCAUUCCCACAAGUGACUCAAUAUUUCAAUACUGUAAACAAAACUGAUCAUAUACUUAUUGAAAUAUCCCAAGAAUGUCUUCAUCUGUUAAAAAAAAUGGGAAAAUGUUAUACUUCAACCGGCCCUCUUGCUUUGUUCACUGGCAAACAAUGGUUUCAGGACAUUUUAUUUCUGCCAGUCCUGUAAGUGGAACAGAAAAGCAGAUGAUAUUGAGAGUAGGAAUCAGGAAGCUGUACAUCGAUCUGUCCUGCUUGUUUCAGUGGUGGUCUGUUUGGACUCUGUUUGGGCUUGCUGUGGAGAAGGAGAGAAAGGGGAACAUAAAGAGGUGAGUUGUUUUACAAUGCAGCGGGAAAACCAUAAACACAUCCUGAGACUCUGAGCUGGAUUCAAAGUGCAAUUCGGUUCAGGAUGUAUCUAAUCUCAAUUUUCCCCCAAGUUUUAGACUGGUGUAAUGCACAAUUAUUAGUGUUUUAGGAGAGAACUCCUAAGCUUUUAUUAACUUAGAAUAACUUUUCUCUUUGGUGCACAAUUUAGGACGACUGAUAUGGGUUUUUCAAUGAAAGGUGAUGAUACCUGAUGAUAAGCGGCAUGGCCAUUUAAUGUUAAUGUAUCAGUAUUGUUAACUUAAAGCAUAAAAACUUUUUCUAUUAUUAUUUUAAAAUUAUGUAUGUUUAAUUAUAUAUUUACGUUCAAUUAUAAUAUUUAAAUAAAUUAAAAAAUAAAAAUAAAAAUAUUAGAUGA
Long non-coding RNA from Cyprinus carpio (common carp), 1036 nucleotides. The record is from Ensembl. NCBI's taxonomy places the organism in Eukaryota, Metazoa, Chordata, Actinopteri, Cypriniformes, Cyprinidae.